RNAcentral lists this ribosomal RNA (539 nucleotides) under Isolapotamon bauense. RNAcentral describes it as "partial 16S rRNA". It matches the Rfam family "Bacterial large subunit ribosomal RNA", at positions 1831 to 2625 of the family's 2925-position model. Lineage: Eukaryota; Metazoa; Arthropoda; Malacostraca; Decapoda; Potamidae. The record is from RNAcentral.
GUCUGUUUGAAGUUAUAAAAAGUCUAACCUGCUCACUGAUAUUUUUAAAGAGCCGCAGUAUUAUAACUGUGCGAAGGUAGCAUAAUCAUUAGGUUUUUAAUUGAAAUCUCGUAUGAAUGGUUGAACAAAUAAAGGACUGUCUUUAUAUUAAAUUUGAAUUUAACUUUUAAGUGAAAAGGCUUAAAUAUUCUAAAAAGACGAUAAGACCCUAUAAAACUUUACAUUAGUCUAAAUAAAAUUGAUUUUAAAAGUAAAGAUUAGUUUAGUUAUUUGUUAUGUUGGGGAGACAAGGGCAUAAGUUUAUAUAACUGCUUUUUAUAAAAAACAAAUAUUUUUGUGUAUAAUUGAUCCUUAAGAUUAAGAUUAUAGAUUAAGUUACUUUAGGGAUAACAGCGUUAUUUUUUUUGAGAGUUCUUAUCGAAAAAAAAAGUUUACGACCUCGAUGUUGAAUUAAAAAUUUCUAUAUAAUGCAGUAGUUAUAUAAGAAGGUCUGUUCGACCUUUAAAUUUUUACAUGAUUUGAGUUCAAACCGGUGUGAG